AACGAAUUUCACAAAACUUUCUCAAAAUUAAUAUUGCUUUAUAUUUAAAUAAAUUUAUUCUGUUGCAAGUAAACUAUUUACCUUUCUGAGAUUUACUAAUGAAAGCCCGAAUAAAUAAUGUGAAUGUGUAUUAUAUGAAUAAUAUUUAUAUUUAUACGAAUCUGUUUAAGCGCGAAGAGUACCGCAAUGAUGUUACGAUGAGACAAGAGUAGAGCGCAAAACGAUUAGUUACACGCGACAUUCAACUUUAUUCUUGUUCUUCCUACACAUUGGUAUGGUAAUUUUCGUCUGAAGAGAACUAAAACUGUGUGAAUGACACUAAAACUCCGAACGAUUGCCCGUUUUGUGAGCCCCGGGGUGCUGUUUUGAUUUGCGAGUGAGAUGCAAGAAAACACCUAAGGUUAAGUUCAGACAAGAGACAAGGGAGACGAGAAAAAUGAAGGAUAAGACCAGAGGGCCACGCGACAGGAAGACGUUUCUUUUAUUCAGAGUAACGACUCCUAAGUCACGUGACAAAAAGGGUGGUCACUCAAGGCAACACAGAUGCAAGAGUUGAGUGUGUGCAUUAUCAAAUCGACAGGAGAAAUAAGCGGUGAGCUGUUAAGAGCUUGGGGUUUCCCAUGACGACUUUUAAUUUGGUUUACUGGUCACCGGACAUCAGAGAUACUUAAUUUGUUCAAUAAGAUGUAUGUUUUUAACUUUCAACUCUGUUAAAUCGAACGAGAGUAAUUCAAGAUUUUAUUUU
Molecule: long non-coding RNA, 745 nt
Organism: Cotesia glomerata
Lineage: Eukaryota; Metazoa; Arthropoda; Insecta; Hymenoptera; Braconidae
Exons: 4
Source: RefSeq, a predicted model, not a curated record